This is a non-coding RNA of Macaca mulatta (Rhesus monkey), 1003 nucleotides long. The record is from the annotation of a RefSeq genome assembly. Lineage: Eukaryota; Metazoa; Chordata; Mammalia; Primates; Cercopithecidae.
AGUGCCUUUUCUCAGGAGAGAGGCCAUCACUUGAAGAUGCUGGGUCUCCUGCUCCUUCUCCUGGGACGAGGCUCAGUGUUCAGUGCUGUCGUCUCUCAAAAGCCAAGCAGGGAUGUCUGUCAACGUGGAACCUCCGUGACGAUCCAGUGUCAAGUCGAUAGCCAAGUCACCAUGAUGUUCUGGUACCGUCAGCAACCUGGACAGAGCAUGACACUGAUUGCAACUGCAAAUCAGGGCUCCGAGGCCACAUAUGAGAGUGGAUUUGUCAUUGACAAGUUUCCCAUCAGUCGCCCAAACCUAACAUUCUCAACUCUGACUGUGAGCAACACGAGCCCUGAAGACAGCAGCAUAUACCUCUGCAGCGUUGAAGACACAGUGCUGGGCACAGAUCAAAGAUCUGAGCAAGAACCUCAACUCUCUCCUACCCAGCUCCCCUUACAUGAGCCUGAGGGCCCUGCCAAGAUGGGACAGGAGGAGGAAACCACAGCUCUUGGGCAGACACAGCUGUUUCUGUGCUUGUGGGUGGGCAUGGGUGUGAAUGGAUAGACUGGGGAUGAGGAGAGCAUCUGUAGGACUAGCUGGUGUGUUCUAUCCACAGACAGGAAGGGUGGCUCCUGGAAAGCUGAGGGUAAAAUUUCUUCUAGAAGGAUGCUCAGAAAUACCCAAUAAAAACAAUCAGAUACAGUUUCCUUCAAGUGGCAGGGUCAGUAAUAGCCUUUAACUGUUUUAUCUCAAGGCUCUUUUUAGCUGGUUUUCUAUCAUAAUAUAUUUUGGCAGAACUUUAGUCACCUUGAAACAAAGCUGGUACAUUACAUUAAUGACAUCUGCUUGUUCUCAGUCAAUAGGAAUUAUAAAGCUCUCUAGAUGCCUCAAUAUGACAAUAUGACACAUGUAUCCCAGGCCAACAUAAAAUCUGCGAAGUUCAGGAACCUUCUAUAAUGGUGAGUUUUGGAGUAGUCCAGAGGUUUGGGGCAUGUCAAAAUAUCUCCUCUAAUGUGAGAAG